UACAGAGGUGGCAAGCGUUGUUCGGAAUUACUGGGCGUAAAGGGCGCGUAGGCGGUUCGAUAAGUCCCGUGUGAAAUCCCUCGGCUCAACUGAGGAAUGGCACGGGAAACUGACGGGCUUGAGUUCGGGAGAGGGAAGCGGAAUUCCGGGUGUAGCGGUGAAAUGCGUAGAUAUCUGGAGGAAUACCGGUGGCGAAGGCGGCAUCCUGGACCGGCAUUGACGCUGAGUGAGCGAAAGCUAGGGGAGCAAACGGG
RNAcentral lists this ribosomal RNA (254 nucleotides) under uncultured bacterium. RNAcentral describes it as "partial 16S ribosomal RNA". It matches the Rfam family "Bacterial small subunit ribosomal RNA", at positions 524 to 776 of the family's 1533-position model. The record is from RNAcentral.